This 272-nucleotide ribosomal RNA is filed under the name uncultured bacterium. Its description in RNAcentral is "partial 16S ribosomal RNA". It matches the Rfam family "Bacterial small subunit ribosomal RNA", at positions 494 to 766 of the family's 1533-position model. The record is from RNAcentral.
UGGGCCUACGGGGGGCAGCAGCCGCGGUAAUACGUAGGGGGCGAGCGUUAUCCGGAUUCAUUGGGCGUAAAGCGCGCGUAGGCGGCGCGUCAAGCGGGACCUCUAACCCCGGGGCUCAACCCCGGGCCGGGUCCCGGACUGGCGCGCUCGAGUGCGGUAGAGGCGAGUGGAAUUCCCGGUGUAGCGGUGGAAUGCGCAGAUAUCGGGAAGAACACCGAUGGCGAAGGCAGCUCGCUGGGCCGACACUGACGCUGAGGCGCGAAAGCUGGGGG